This is a long non-coding RNA of Cornus florida, 769 nucleotides long. RefSeq lists it as uncharacterized. Lineage: Eukaryota; Viridiplantae; Streptophyta; Magnoliopsida; Cornales; Cornaceae. The record is from RefSeq and is a predicted model, not a curated record. The transcript is spliced from 2 exons.
UAUAAUUUUUUAUAUAUAUAUGUACAUAUAUAUUAAAGUUAUAAAAUAAUUCUUUUAUUUCAAAAAGUAAGUGGGCCCCACUAAUAUAUUAAAAACAUCACAAAGGCCAUAAGGCCAUUACACAGACUCAUUUCUCUCUCUCUAUUCUAUCUCUCUAUAACAUUGGUUUUUCUUAUUCUUUUCACCAUUCAAAGUUUGAUCCCUCCUUUAGCUUUGAGAUUUUGGUAGAACCUUGUGAAACAAAGUUGGAGAGCUCGUCGAGGCCGUCAAUUUGAUAGGAGCCAAGCACAAUUUAGCCAAGCCUAGGGAUUUCAAAAUUAGGGCUUAAAUUGGGGGGUUUUCUUUCAAUUGAGGUUGUAGAGGGACUUUUUCUGCGGAGGUCAUGCCGAAAUUUUAUAUUUUUAUUAUUAUUUUUGGUAUCUUUUCGGGUCGUUACAAACCCAAUUACGGGUGACCAUUUAUUUUGUGAUCAAUUAUUGGCUAUUCCUCAAUCUUACAGCCUGAUGCCAAGGCAGUCAUGGGAAUGAGUUCAUGUCUGUUAGAAGUGGCAGUGUUCUUGGAUGACAUGGAAAGCUAUCUGAUGCAGAAUAGAGGCUUAGCUCUAGCAUGUGUGCCAACAGAAUGUAAUAUUGUUGCUUAUCCAUUGAGGAAAUUUGUUGUUAGGAGGAAAAUCACUUGCAUUUUGGUGUUCAUUUUCCUUCUUGAUUGAUGGAAGUUGUUGACGAGAAUUGUACAAUCUAAUUCCAAAGUAAUUAAAUUUCUUCUGAUA